UGGGGAAUCUUCCGCAAUGGACGAAAGUCUGACGGAGCAACGCCGCGUGAGUGAUGACGGCCUUCGGGUUGUAAAGCUCUGUUAAUCGGGACGAAAGGUCUUCUUGCGAAUAGUUAGAAGAAUUGACGGUACCGGAAUAGAAAGCCACGGCUAACUACGUGCCAGCAGCCGCGGUAAUACGUAGGUGGCAAGCGUUGUCCGGAAUUAUUGGGCGUAAAGCGCGCGCAGGCGGAUCAGUCAGUCUGUCUUAAAAGUUCGGGGCUUAACCCCGUGAUGGGAUGGAAACUGCUGAUCUAGAGUAUCGGAGAGGAAAGUGGAAUUCCUAGUGUAGCGGUGAAAUGCGUAGAUAUUAGGAAGAACACCAGUGGCGAAGGCGACUUUCUGGACGAAAACUGACGCUGAGGCGCGAAAGCCAGGGGAGCGAACGGGAUUAGAUACCCCGGUAGUCCUGGCCGUAAACGAUGGGUACUAGGUGUAGGAGGUAUCGACCCCUUCUGUGCCGGAGUUAACGCAAUAAGUACCCCGCCUGGGGAGUACGGCCGCAAGGUUG
RNAcentral lists this ribosomal RNA (550 nucleotides) under uncultured bacterium. RNAcentral describes it as "bacterial SSU rRNA". It matches the Rfam family "Bacterial small subunit ribosomal RNA", at positions 355 to 896 of the family's 1533-position model. The record is from RNAcentral.